Non-coding RNA from Zootoca vivipara (common lizard), 3382 nucleotides. NCBI's taxonomy places the organism in Eukaryota, Metazoa, Chordata, Lepidosauria, Squamata, Lacertidae. The record is from RefSeq and is a predicted model, not a curated record.
GACGGGCGUCCCGCUCAGCCAAUCCGGGAGGGGCUCCUGCUCACCUGGGUGCCGCUCCGCUCCGGUCUUGCUCAGUCGGUUGCGCAGCGGAGGAGGCAAUGGCGGUGGCGGCGAUGGGCUGGCUUUGGUGGGGCUGCUUCUUCGCCGGGCUGUGCUCCUUGAUAUCAGGCCAGUCGACCCAGGAGACGCUUGUUCAAGUUCCCGAGAACAGCGAAGCACGACUGCCUUGCAAGGCAUACCAGGGCUCCGCAAGGCGUGUGGAGUGGAAAUUCCAGGGGGAUGGCUCCACAACACUGUUCUAUUUUGACGGUCACUUCACAGACCCUUACAAGGACCGUGUCCUGUACUAUCCCAAUGAACUCUUUUUCAAAUCGGUGACUCGGAAAGACAACGGCCUGUACAUCUGCGAGGUGGUCGUCACUCCGGAGGACUAUCGGCAUUCCUCUGUGCGGCUCGUUGUUCAAGUCCCGCCCUCGAAGCCCAAGGCCCAAGUGCCCUCUGUGGUCACCAUUGGCAGCAAAGCGGUUCUCACCUGCGUGGAGACAGACGGCUCCCCGCCUCCCACCUUCACCUGGUUCAAAGACAACAUCCCGAUGCCCGAAGACCCCAAAACCAACUCCCUGUUCAGGAAUUCAUCCUACACGAUGGAUCCCAAGACUGGGCUUCUGGCUUUUGAGCCCGCGAUGGCCUAUGACGCUGGGGACUACUACUGCCAGGCGGACAACAAAGUCGGGGUCCCCCAGAAGUCUGACACAGUGCGCAUGGAGACCAGUGAAGUCAACGUGGGCGGCAUCGUUGCUGCUGUGGUGGUGCUUCUCAUCGUCCUAGGCCUGGUGAUCUUUGGGGUCUGGUUCGCCUACACCCGGGGCUUCUUCAGCAAAAGAAGAGAGUGAGUAGAAGCUUGACCAGUUGGCAGUGGCGUCUCCUCCACCAGAACCCUUCUUCCCAGCCCACAUUGCCUGCCUCUCUCAUCCCCUCCCCAUAUAUUCCUCCUGCCCCGAAAACUCUUGGCUGAGGCUUGGGGGCCACUGGGCUCCCCUUGGCCUCAUUCCUAGCCACCGAAGAGGGUGGUGGGAGUGGUGCUUGCGGAAGGAGCCACGGUGCGCCAGCCUCCCAGUGGGAGCCUCUGGGUGUCAGGUGCCCAGAGUUAUUUAUUAACGAACUUGUAUACAUUGCUUAUAUGCCAAAAGGGGUUGCAUCUGGUGUUAGCCCUACUCAGAGUAGACCCACUGAAAUUAACCGGCAUGGCUAAGGUGCGUCUGCUCUAAAUAGGGCCACAUUCAUGCCAUGCAUUUAAAGCGCUGUGGUGCCACUUUAAAACAGUUAUGGCUUCUUCACCCAAAGAAUCCUGGGAACUGUAGUUUGUUAAGUGUGCUGGGAGGUGAUAGGACACCCGUAUUCCCCUCACAGAGCUACAGUUACCAGAGUGGUUUAGCACUCAAUCUCGCUUCACAGGGAACUCUGUUGACUUGUGUUAAGCGCCAACAGAGUGAUGCAGCAGCAAAAAAAGCUAAUGCGAUUCUAGGCUGCAUCAACAGAAGUAGAAUGUCCACCUCAAGAAAAGCCAAAGUGCCACUUUGUUCUGCCUUGUUUAGACCCCCACCUGGAUUCUUAUGUCCAGUUUGGGGCACCACAGUUUAAGAAGGGUGUUGACAAGCUGGAAGAUGUGCAGAGGAAGGUGACCAGGAUGGUCAGAGGCCUGGAGACCAAGCCUUAUGAGGAAUGGUUGAGGGAGUUUGGGAUGUUUAGCCUGGGUGAGAGAAGACUUAAGAAGUGAUAGGAUAGCCAUCUUCAAAUAUUUGAAGGGCUGUCACAUGGAAGAUGGAGCAAGGUUGUUUUCUGCUGAUUCAGAGGUUGGGACCCAAAUUGAUGGAUUAAAAUGACAAGGAGAUUCCAACUAAACAUUAGGAAGAACUUUCCGAUGGUAAGGCCUUUUGACAAUGGAACAGACUACCUGAGAAGGUGGACUCUCCACUACAGGUUUUUAAGCAGAGGUUGUCAGGGGUUUUUGAGCUGUGGUUCCUGCAUUGCAGAGGGCAGGACUAGAUGACCCUUGGUGGCCCCUUCCAACUCUGCAAUCUGUGAAUUGUAUGGUGUUGACUAUGGCCUGGGAUUUAGCUGAAUGGCACCCUCAGCAUUCCGCCUUCUGCCUCCGCUUCUGGGAUAUCUUCCUCUAUUGCCAGGUCCCUGCCUCUAAUCUCUCAUUUCUCCACCUGUUUUAGCACCACCAGCAAUAAGAAGGUCAUUUACAGCCAACCUUCUACCCGAAGUGAUGGUGAAUUUAAACAGACGUCUUCCUUCUUGGUCUGAUCUCCACUCUCAUGUUGCCUUCCACCAUGUAUUAAAGUCUAACCUCUCCCUCCUCUUGAGGUUGUUGUAAAUGUUCCUUAUGAAUCUUUGUAAUUAAGUGUGAUUUUUUAAAAAAAGCUGUUUUUAAGAAAAGAUGAAGUGUGCUGUUAUGAAUUUUGUUUUCAAUGCUUUAAACCCUUGGUCACUACUCAGCUGAAGAGCUGGUCAUUAGGGGCCUGACCAUUGAGUGCAAUCCUAACCGUGCCUACUCCGAGGGUCAUACGCAAUGAAGUUUUUACACUGAAAUUAAGAGACCCAAUUUCAGUAGCAAAUGCAAACAGCCACCGCAGUGUCUCUCGUUUGGGUGGAAUUAACAGUGAAGGGACUAUUGCUGUCUUGUAAAACUUCAUUGAAUACCACCGACCCAGUCCUAUUGAAUUCAGUGAGGUUAGGAUUGCAGCCUGAAAAACUUGUUUAGGGGCUCCUAGGCUUACCUUUUGACCUUUGCAAGCUGCCGAGGUUUGACCUGUAGGACAUUGCCUUUUGGGAUGUCAGUGGCAUCCCAGAAUCUGAGAUGGUUUAAGGCAGAAUUGUACCUGUGAAAUCCCUUCCUGACCUUGAGCCCCUUCUACCUCAGAUUGGCUUCCAAAAAGGAGAGAAUUGGUUUUGAGAGCAGAAUUAAUAAUCGUGUCUGGAUGCUUCCUGGAAGAGUCAACGAGGGGCCAGAGGAUAUCGAUAAAUCUACCGCCACACAGUGCGAAAUUGUAUUGCCUUGUAGCUGCGAUCCAGAACAGAAUUAGAAUACCCAGUCCUAACCACAUCUACCUGGAAAUCAGUCUUGUUGCAUUAAGUCAGGGUUACUCCCAGGUACAGGAUUGCAGCUGUGGCCCAUUAAUCUGAGAGUUCCUGCAUGUGUAGCUGUGGGGUGGAUUGGGGCCGGUGUUAGUGGUGGCUUUUAUGCUGUGUUAGAGAGUUGGCCUUCAAACUUGAGAGUUCUAUCGUAUGUGCCUUUUAUAAAUACCGCUACGACGUUCUUGUGUCAUUUUGUAUGCUGGGAACAGAAUUGAAAAUAAACAUUGCCCUUCCGUUUGAA